GUUCUUUUCUCGCAUGAGAGAAGAUGGAAAGACGGUUUACGCUGUCACUUAUAGAUGGGCCCGCGGCGCAUUAGCUAGUUGGUGAGGUAAUGGCUCACCAAGGCGACGAUGCGUAGCCGACCUGAGAGGGUGAUCGGCCACACUGGGACUGAGACACGGCCCAGACUCCUACGGGAGGCAGCAGUAGGGAAUCUUCCGCAAUGGACGAAAGUCUGACGGAGCAACGCCGCGUGAACGAAGAAGGCCUUCGGGUCGUAAAGUUCUGUUGUUAGGGAAGAACAAGUACCAGAGUAACUGCUGGUACCUUGACGGUACCUAACCAGAAAGCCACGGCUAACUACGUGCCAGCAGCCGCGGUAAUACGUAGGUGGCAAGCGUUGUCCGGAAUUAUUGGGCGUAAAGCGCGCGCAGGUGGUUCUUUAAGUCUGAUGUGAAAGCCCACGGCUCAACCGUGGAGGGUCAUUGGAAACUGGGGAACUUGAGUGCAGAAGAGGAAAGUGGAAAUUCCAAGUGUAGCGGUGAAAUGCGUAGAGAUUUGGGAGGAACACCAGUGGCGAAGCGACUUUCUGGUCUGUAACUGACACU
RNAcentral lists this ribosomal RNA (585 nucleotides) under Peribacillus simplex. RNAcentral's name for it is "bacterial SSU rRNA". It matches the Rfam family "Bacterial small subunit ribosomal RNA", at positions 173 to 747 of the family's 1533-position model. Lineage: Bacteria; Bacillati; Bacillota; Bacilli; Caryophanales; Bacillaceae. The record is from RNAcentral.